GCCAAGGAGGAGGGAGCUCUCAGCCAUGUUACAGCGGAGAAGCCUGUUGCAGGAGCAAUGUUUUACUCUGCUGCAAGAUGAAGAAACCCUGCUCAUGGGUGACUGGUGCCUCCUGAGUCAGGUGGGGGCAACUGCAGAAGCUGUGAGUGGCAGCGGUGGCAGGGACAAAGCUGACAAGCACCCGCAGAAGCCACCAGCGGCGUCAGCAUCGGAAUCGGGGCUGGAGGUGAAGGCAGCAGCCCCUGCUACAUGGAGCAUUCUUCCCCUUUCCCAGGUGCCUGGUGUAGCUGGCCCAGUCCCAGGCAAAAGAUAUGAAGCCCAUCAGGUCUCCCUCAGCAUCACCUGUGGAGUCUCUGGGGCCUCUGUCAGCAGCCACUACUGGCACUGGCUGCGGCAGCCUCCAGAGCUGGGCUCCAGUGGCUGGGCUCCAUUCAGAGCAGCAUGGAGCUUGGAACCAGCAACUACCACCCAGCUCUGGCCUCCCAAAUUUGCAUCACCCAGGACACCUGGAAGGAGGAGGUGCAGAUGCAGCCGCAUGCCCUGACUGCUGCUAACAGUGCCAUCUACUACUGAGCCAAGGAGAAGGCCCAAGUGAGGGGCACAGCGACAGACCAGGCAGGGGCUGCAAACAGAGGGAAGCUUACUGUCAGACCAAUUCUCCUCAGGCCGAAGAGGUUCCUGCAUGAUCCCUUGCACCCAAAAGGGGAGUCGCAGGCAGGAGAGAUGCUGCAGCCUCACAGGGAUUGCCCAGAAUGCAUAGAGGAAGAUGAUACUACAAAAAUGAAAAUGUGGAGCUUUGCCAAGACUGCUCAGAGCCCUGACACCAGACCCUGGGGGUGGAGUAGCAACUGCUUUCAGCAGGUGCAGGAAAUAGAGAGGCCAAGUGCAUGCAUCCUUAUAGAGCCUCUGUGCCAAAGCUGGGGUCACCCAGCCACCUGCCAGGCCACUGCACAUUAGGAAGCUCUGAGCCAGCCUCAGAGGUGACCCUUUGUAAUGUCCCCAGCCUUCAGCCCCUGAAAACAAGCUCCCUCUUUACAGAGCAGCUGCAGGCAGGGCCCCAGCAUCAAGGCAGCUUGGGUCUAGCUUGCCACCCCCCUGGGGAGCUGCCCAAGCAUCACAACCAUGGUCUCCAGCACUGCCAUCCCCCUCCUGCUGGUCUUAUCCCAUCUGCAGCCUGUACUAUGAAUUCUCUGAUACAGCCAAAAUGUACCUGCAACCCAGAAUCCCUGUAUUAUUUCCCUUGACUUUGUCCCUCCCUGUAGGUGUGUGCACCUAAGACAGCCUGGUACGGUCUGGUGGGGAGUCCAGGAGCUUAGAGGGAUUUUCAGUCAGACCUGCUCCAUGUCCAGGUUCUUGCUCAUAAACUGCAACACAUACUGGUGUUCCAGUCAGCAGGGAAAGGGCUGGAACUGGUGGCAGCUCUAUAGACUGGGGGCUAUGCUUUAAGGAGCCUCCUCAGAUUAAGCAGAGACACCUCCAGAGGCUGAACACACCUGUGGCUGAGUAGACUGGAACCUGGAGACGAGGCCCAGUAUUACUGUACAAGGCACAGUGCACAUUACAGUCUGCUCAAAAAGCAGCCUGCAGGGCCGAGCCUUCAUAUAGACCCCAGUGCAGGCAGGAGUCCAAUGCUUUCAGCUCUUAUCCUCCCAAGGGAACCCACAUGCAAAUCCCUGCCCAGGGGCUCCUGGGUAAAUGCAGCCCCUGAAUCCCAGAGCCUCAGUCUCUACCCAGCUCCUGCCCUGCCCACUUCUGCCUGCCAGGAGCUGCCUCACCCCACAGCAGGAUGGAUGCUGUUCUGCUCUUCCUCCUGCUGCUCGUUGCCCCCACAGGUGCCCUCAUGGGGGUGAUGCUGCUGCAGUCUGGCCCAGGUGCAGUGAGGCCUGGGGAGACCCUUACUCUGCAGUACACUGUCUCUGGUGUAUCCCUGACUGAUAACAAUUAUGGUUGGUUCUGGGUCCAACUGGGACCUGGAAAGCAGCUAAAUGAGAUUGAAUGGAUUGGAGCAUAUUUGCCAGAGAUGGGAAGAGCGGCCCUCUUCCCAUUAUUCCAGAGCCAAGCUGACAUCUCUGCAGGCACCUCCCAGAACCAGCUCUCCUUGCAGCUGUGCUCCCUGACAGCUACAGACACUACCAUGUAUUAUUGUGUCAGAGCCAGCACACAGUGACACAGAGCAGGGCAGGGGCCAUGCAAAGAGAGGAAGCGCUUCCAAGCAGACCACACGUACCUGGCUUUCCAGCUCCUGCUGCAUUGGCCCUCAGGCCAGGUGGGUGGGACAUAAUUAUGUCAGGCCUGCUCACCUGCUGCUCCACACGUCUCAGACAGGGGUCCCCAGUCGUCCAUCACCACACCCUCCUCUGCUGAUGUGCAGCACUAGCUGAGAUGCAGGACAGAUCCAUUAAGGGCAGUGCUGCAGGGGAUGGGACGCGGACCAGCCCUAUCCAAGCAACUCCCAUCCCAGGCAUUUCUGGAUCCACAGACAGUGGAAAUGCCUUGUCAAUCACUGGCCCAAGGCAUCAGUAUCUUUGAGGGCCCACCUCCCAGGGCCCCUCGGCUGUACAGACACCAGGCCAGUGCCCAGCACCUGUUCAUGCCCAGGGAGAGCCAGGUGUCUGACAACCACCUAUGCCCUUGAAACCAGUCUCCUGAACCCUCCUAUGAAAUGUCCUGUUCUGUCCACUUUGACAGGCUCCUCCUCUCACCAACCCCCAUGCCCAUACUCGGAGCUCUCCACAGGGAUGGCCAGGGUCCCAUCACAGCACCUAACCUAGGGCCCCCUAUGCUGGAGCAGUGUUUAUGAAAGGUUGAGCUCCCCCUGUAACUCCAAGGCCUUGGGAAGCACCUCAUCAGGAAGGAACCAUGGGGCCCUUGGAGAAGGCAUCAUUCCUGGACACCAAGUCUGGGGGUAGCAGGACACCAAGCCCUGCAAGGGCCACAGGUCCCAGCACUAAGCCGGCACCCAGGUGACUGUGCAUAGAGCCAGGCCCGAGUGCAGUGCUCUUGGGAGGCAGCAGCUGACCCAGCCCUCCCAUACUGGGAACCCCUUCCCUGCAUACUGGGAACCUGCCUAGCUGCCUUUGGCCUCAAGAUCUGGUACUGAGGACCAUCCUGUAAACCACCCAGACUCAGGGAGAGUAGAAAAAAAUCCCCAUCCACUCCCAUAACCUCUGCCACAUCUCUGGGCUCCCUCAGCUAUGGGAAAACAAACAUCAUGAGAAGCCUCAGACUUGCCUUCCUGCCAGGACAGGAAAGGACUAGAUCUGCAGUGUUAACUGGAGUCAGCAGAAAUGAAGUGGAAAAAGAACCAGACAUCUCAGCUGAAGAAACAGACCAGGAGCUUCAUUCUUCCACAUCAUCCAGCAAACCUGCAGUCUCCAGCUGCUGGCUCAGGAGCCCCAGUGCACUGAAUGUGAUGCAUGCACCUUUGGGACCUGCAUAGUGAAACUUCAACUCUGGCCUAAUAGAGUCUGGAAGAGUUGUAGCAAGGAAGCAGCAGGCUUUGACCAGAAAGGAUUCAAACCCAGUCCCUUCUACUUCCCCCUUUGGAUUCAUCCCUUAAACCCUCACAGGGUCUUGCUAAAGGCAAGAGAGUCUGUUACACCCUGGGACUGCAAAGAGAGAAACAUGUACUUAUUGGAGACUGUUCCCUUGAGGCCGGAGGGGCCUCCACAGACAAGACCCCCCAGUCCUACAUAGAGUUGAUGGCAGAAAUUACCGAAAUGCCUUGGGAAGUCCCAUUCCCCAUACCCAUAUUCACUGAGAUGCCCCCUCAACCCUCAGCACCACUGGGACUCACAGCACUCUCUGGCACUGACCGUGGGGGAAAGGAAGCAGUGCAGAGAAAGGGCCUUAACAGGGAGUUGUUUUGUGUCCCUAAUGUAGAGGGUGCUCCCUGUGCAGCAGCUCCCUGUGCCAAUCUGCCUGCUUUUGCCCAGAAUAAACCUGGAGGGACAUGGCACAGUCCCAGGAUCAGUGCAGGACCAGUGACCCACUUAGCAACUCCCUUAUGUCACCAGGGGAAGGAGACAUGGGCCCAGCUGGUUUUCAAUGCACUAGUUUUGGAAGGUGCUGUUGCCCAUGGUCUGGGCAGUCUCAGGCCAUGGAAUGAGGCUCUUUCUCCUACUACAAUUUCUAGGCAGAUCUUUUUUUUUUUCUCCCCAGCAGCCCACAUAUUAAUCCAGGCUCCCCUGGUGAAGUCUAGAGGGGAUGGGAAGAAGCCAGAGACUUUGCCCAACCCUUCUGCAAGAACUCCAGGUUCCUCUUCAGCACCCAAAUCACUGUCACCCUAGGGACACCCAAUAGAGGCUUCUUCCCUGUGCCUUAGCCAGCCCCAUCACCUCUAGUCAUUCCCUGACCAGCUCCCCACUCCCCCAGUACAGCCCAUUCAACCCUGCUGUUCCAGGUUCCCAGCCCUUCUACAACUACUUCCAUGACCUGGCACCCAAGCUGAGGGCUGCUCCCUUCCCCUUCACCCCACAGACACAAGUUGCUGGCAGACAGGGGCUGGGGCUGCUCACCCUAAGGGGUUGGAGAUGGUCAGAGGAGCCAUGUGCUUCCCCCUCAGGGGAAGCCUGCCCAGGAGCCCCUGCACUGAGGGAGGCACUGAGCAAGCCUAAGAUGAGCAGACACAGAUGCACAUAGGACAGGGAUGGGCAAUUAUUUCAGGCAGAGGGCCACUUACUGAGUUUUGGCAAGCCAUCGAGGGCCAC
Alligator mississippiensis (American alligator) is the source of this 4709-nucleotide long non-coding RNA. RefSeq lists it as uncharacterized. Lineage: Eukaryota; Metazoa; Chordata; Crocodylia; Alligatoridae. The transcript has 4 exons. The record is from RefSeq and is a predicted model, not a curated record.